This 375-nucleotide ribosomal RNA is filed under the name uncultured organism. RNAcentral's name for it is "partial 16S ribosomal RNA". It matches the Rfam family "Bacterial small subunit ribosomal RNA", at positions 527 to 896 of the family's 1533-position model. The record is from RNAcentral.
GUAGGUGGCAAGCGUUGUCCGGAAUUAUUGGGCGUAAAGCGCGCGCAGGCGGUUCUUUAAGUCUGAUGUGAAAGCCCACGGCUCAACCGGGGAGGGUCAUUGGAAACUGGAGAACUUGAGUACAGAAGAGGAAAGCGGAAUUCCACGUGUAGCGGUGAAAUGCGUAGAGAUGUGGAGGAACACCAGUGGCGAAGGCGGCUUUCUGGUCUGUAACUGACGCUGAGGCGCGAAAGCGUGGGGAGCAAACAGGGGUUAGAUACCCUGGUAGUCCACGCCGUAAACGAUGAGUGCUAAGUGUUAGGGGGUUUCCCGCCCCCCUUAGUGCUGCAGCUAACGCAUUAAGCACUCCGCCUGGGGAGUACGGCCGCAAGGCUG